UAACAAAGUGAAGUACCCUAAAGAUUAGAA
RNAcentral lists this non-coding RNA (30 nucleotides) under Rattus norvegicus (Norway rat). The record is from RNAcentral. Lineage: Eukaryota; Metazoa; Chordata; Mammalia; Rodentia; Muridae.